This 77-nucleotide transfer RNA is filed under the name Escherichia coli. Its description in RNAcentral is "tRNA-Met". It matches the Rfam family "tRNA". Rfam says of the family: Transfer RNA (tRNA) molecules are approximately 80 nucleotides in length. Their secondary structure includes four short double-helical elements and three loops (D, anti-codon, and T loops). Lineage: Bacteria; Pseudomonadati; Pseudomonadota; Gammaproteobacteria; Enterobacterales; Enterobacteriaceae. RNAcentral also lists the same sequence under 1 other name. The record is from RNAcentral.
GCGGGGUGGAGCAGCCUGGUAGCUCGUCGGGCUCAUAACCCGAAGGUCGUCGGUUCAAAUCCGGCCCCCGCAACCAC